Molecule: long non-coding RNA, 1508 nt
Organism: Triticum aestivum (bread wheat)
Lineage: Eukaryota; Viridiplantae; Streptophyta; Magnoliopsida; Poales; Poaceae
Exons: 6
Source: RefSeq, a predicted model, not a curated record
UUUUUUGCCAGAUUCAAUCGGUUCUCCUAUCCCACGACUAUAGCGAUCAGGGCCGGGAGAUUGGGGGUGGCCGGCUGGCCGCCCCGCCGGUUCGAGCUUGGAUCCACAACAUGAACCAGCCCCGCGAGCACUCCGCUCUAUUCUCCCCCUGGUUGCAGCGACCGGCGACGGCGGAUUGAAGGAGGCCGCCCCACCAGCGGAUCUCGGAUCCACCGCAUCAACCGGCCCGCGAGCCAUACCCCAACGAUUACAGCGACCGGCGACAGCUCUCGGAUCACCAGGAUACAGCGAAGGGAUUUGGGGGAGAAAAGCACCGAGGUGAUGUAGACGAAAGAGAGAAGGCACCUGAAGGUUCUACCAUGCCAAAAACAAAAAAGCGUGUCAGAUCUACAAACGGUGCAUCAGCUACCUCAAGAAUAACUGGAUCCAAAGCUACCACAACAACUGAGUUGGUUGAAGCUACAAACCAUCAAGAAUAGUCUGCACCAAAUCCAACAAACACAUCACCUCUCCUAACUUCUAAGGAUAGCAACUCGCCUGACACUGAUUAGGGGAUGCAAGGUUCUCAAGACAUGAUAGGCACAUCUAGCCAAUUUCAUAACAUGAUUACACUACAAGGCCAAGACUCAUAAGCAUGCUCCACUGGUCCAACUGAUGCAUAAGCAUUCUCCACCAUGGGGGAUGAGACCUACAGACCCAGUCAAAGCAGCUAAAAUAUCUUCUUUGUAAUCCAUCAUAUGAAGUUUGCCUUACUGGUGGUAGGAGCAAGCCGGUAUGUCUAGCUUAUAAUGUGAUGGAAAAGAAAAGGGAAGCACAAUCAGAAGGUGAGUUGGCAAUAUCGGAUACAAAAAUUGUGGCUGGAGUUCUAAAGGAAGAAAGCACCCAUAGCACCUUCCUUUCUAGCAUGGGUUAUGCAUCAAGAUCCAGGAGAUUUGAGACCUCUACUUAAUCUUCACAGAAUUGAAGAGAAGGAUAGAGAGGCGAGAGAUGCAAGUGAUAGGCACCAAGAGGAGUUAGCCGUGAAGCUUGAAGCACAAGUGACAACAUUUGAAGAGAUGCAGAGGAAGCAAUAGGAAAAAUUGGAAGCUAUGAAGAAGAGCCAGCAAGAGAAGAAUGAAGCCUGGCAAAAGAAGCAACAGGAGACGGAUAACCUAAUUGGUUUUCUCUUAAAGGCUCAAGCAAACUUAGCAGUCCCGGUCUGUUGGGGAUAUAACUACUGAGUAUAAACCGCCCAGGAGGGGCCGGGUUAUACCUGUAAUGAGUUAUCCAUAUUGAAGCCCAUGAAGACAAGGUGUAUGGCGCUUUAUGGAGGAGAUUAACAAGAAGGCCCAAGAGCCGAAAGGCGGAUUACGGCCCGUAGAUGUAAAUCGCCAUAUGGUAGUUGACUUGUGUUGUAAGAUAAGAAAGGGUAGAAACCAAGCCGGACACGUUUAUGAGCCGGCUGGGAUUCUGUGAACCGCCGGGCGUCAACCUGUUUAUAUAAAGGGACGACCUGCCGGCGGUUUAGG